UAUAAGAAACUAAACUAUUACUGACCAGGAGCUUUAUAAGAAACUAAACUAUUACUGACCAGGAGCUUUAUAAGAAACUAAACUAUUACUGACCAGGAGCUUUAUAAGAAACUAAACUAUUACUGACCAGGAGCUCUAUAAUAAACUAAACUAUUACUGACCAGGAGCUCUAUAAGAAACUAAAGUAUUACUGACCAGGAGCUCUAUAAGAAACUAAACUAUUACUGACCAGGAGCUUUAUAAGAAACUAAACUAUUACUGACCAGGAGCUCUAUAAGAAACUAAACUAUUACUGACCAGGAGCUUUAUAAGAAACUAAACUAUUACUGACCAGGAGCUUUAUAAGAAACUAAACUAUUACUGACCAGGAGCUUUAUAAGAAACUAAACUAUUACUGACCAGGAGCUUUAUAAGAAACUAAACUAUUACUGACCAGGAGCUUUAUAAGGAACUUCAGGCUCUCAAAUUUGAAAAAGCAUGCGGACCUGAUGCCAUUAGAUGCUCAAAUUCACUAGUGCAAAAUUUCAUUUCAUUGGCUUUAUUAAAACUGUUUAAUUUGAUCCUGGUUAUUUCCCUGACAUUUGGAAUCAAGGACUCAAGAACCCCAAUCCUUAAAAACGGAGACAAAUUUGACCCAAACAAUUCCAGAGGCGUUUGUGUGAACAGUAACCUGGGGAAGGUUUUCUGUAGUAUUAUAAAUGUAAGAGUUCUAAGCACAAUGUCUUGAGUAAAAGCCAAAUUGGAUUUAUAGCAAAACAUCACACGGCUGAUCAUAUUUACACCCUAAUAGAUGCGUGUCCACCAUAAUAAACAUGUCCACCAUAAUAAACAUGUCCACCAUAAUAAACAUGUCCACCAAAAUAAACAUGUCCACCAAAAUAAACAUGUCCACCAAAAUAAACAUGUCCACCAAAAUAAACAUGUCCACCAUAAUAAACAUGUCCACCAUAAUAAACAUGUCCACCAUAAUAAACAUGUCCACCAUAAUAAACAUGUCCACCAUAAUAAACAUGUCCACCAAAAUAAACAUGUCCACCAAAAUAAACAUGUCCACCGAAAUAAACAUGUCCUUCUGUAGCACAGUUGGUAGAGCAUGGCGCUUGUAACGCCAGGGUAGUGGGUUCGAUUCCCGGGACCACCCAUACGUAGAAUGUAUGCACACAUGACUGUAAGUCGCUUUGGAUAAAAGCGUCUGCUAAAUGGCAUAUAUAUUUUUUUUUUAUGUCCACCAAAAUAAACAUGUCCACCAAAAUAAUACCAAAAUAUAUGCUUGCUUUAUCGAUUUCCAAAAAGCAUUUGAUUCUAUUUGGCAUACAGGACUGUUCUCCAAAGUUAUUGAAAGUGGUGUAGGGGGUAAAACACAUGACAUGAUUAAAUCAAUGUUUACUGGCAAUACGUGCAGCAGAACCAGGGGGCGGGGCCUUCGCCAGGGUUGCAAUCUGAGCCCUGCACUCUUCAAUAUUUACAUCAAGGAAUUGGCCACUAUUCUAGACAAAUCCUUUAGCCCCUGGUGUUAGUCUCCACAAUUCAGAAGUUAAAUGCCUAAUCUUCUCAGAUGACCUAUGCCUUCUGUCACCCACAGCACAUGGCCUACAGCAGGGCCUGGACCUGCUAGAGCAGUACUGCCAGACCUGGGCCCUGGCAGUAAACCCCCACAGCACAUGGCCUACAGCAGAGCCUGGACCUGCUAGAGCAGUACUGCCAGACCUGGGCCCUGGCAGUAAACCCCACAAAGACUAAUAUAAUGAUUUUACAGAGAAGUUCCAGAUCUCAGGGAAUUAGACCAAAGUUCUCAAUUGGUAGAAAAUAUAUAGAGUACUGCACACACUACAAUGACUUAGGUUUAAAAAAAUAAGCUCAACUGGACACCAUAAUGAGGCAGUGAAAGAACUGAGAAAGCACGCAGGGCAUUAAAAAACUAAUUCAAAUUGAAAUACCUAUUCAAAUUAGGCUAAAACUAAUUGAAUGUUUCAUUGAACCAAUUGCACUUUAUGGCAGUGAGGUGUGGGGUCCACUUUAUGGCAGUGAGGUGUGGGGUCCACUUUAUGGCAGUGAGGUGUGGGGUCCACUUUAUGGCAGUGAGGUGUGGGGUCCACUUUAUGGCAGUGAGGUGUGGGGUCCACUUUAUGGCAACGAGGUGUGGGGUCCACUUUAUGGCAGUGAGGUGUGGGGUCCACUUUAUGGCAGUGAGGUGUGGGGUCCACUUUAUGUCAGCGAGGUGUGAGGUCCACUUUAUGUCAGCGAGGUGUGGGGUCCACUUUAUGGCAGUGAGGUGUGGGGUCCACUUGCAAAACAAGAUUUCACCAAAUGGGACAAACACCCCAUUGAAACCCUGAAUGCAGAGUUCUGUAAGUAUCUCCUACAAGUCCGGAGGAAAACUACAAACAAUGGCUAAAAUCCACUAAUAAUAAAAGGCCAACCCAACCCACCCCACACCAGCCUAGGUAGGAAGGGAAGGACGAGAGUUAGACAGGCCAACCCAACCCACACCAGCCUAGGUAGGAAGGGAAGGAAGGAAGGACGAGAGUUAGACAGGCCAACCCAACCCACACCAGCCUAGGUAGGAAGGGAAGGAAGGAAGAGAGUUAGACAGGCCAACCCAACCCACACCAGCCUAGGUAGGAAGGGAAGGAAGGAAGGACGAGAGUUAGACAGGCCAACCCAACCCACACCAGCCUAGGUAGGAAGGGAAGGAAGGAAGAGAGUUAGACAGGCCAACCCAACCCACACCAGCCUAGGUAGGAAGGGAAGGAAGGAAGAGAGAUAGACAGGCCAACCCAACCCACACCAGCCUAGGUAGGAAGGGAAGGAAGGAAGAGAGUUAGACAGGCCAACCCAACCCACACCAGCCUAGGUAGGAAGGGAAGGAAGAGAGUUAGACAG
Oncorhynchus keta (chum salmon) is the source of this 2883-nucleotide long non-coding RNA. RefSeq lists it as uncharacterized. The transcript is spliced from 3 exons. The record is from RefSeq and is a predicted model, not a curated record. Lineage: Eukaryota; Metazoa; Chordata; Actinopteri; Salmoniformes; Salmonidae.